RNAcentral lists this ribosomal RNA (484 nucleotides) under uncultured bacterium. Its description in RNAcentral is "partial 16S ribosomal RNA". It matches the Rfam family "Bacterial small subunit ribosomal RNA", at positions 29 to 507 of the family's 1533-position model. The record is from RNAcentral.
AAUGAACGCUGGCGGCAUGCCUAACACAUGCAAGUCGAGCGGAUGAAGGGAGCUUGCUCCUGGAUUCAGCGGCGGACGGGUGAGUAAUGCCUAGGAAUCUGCCUUGUAGUGGGGGAUAACGUCCGGAAACGGGCGCUAAUACCGCAUACGUCCUGUGGGAGAAAGUGGGGGAUCUUCGGACCUCACGCUAUCAGAUGAGCCUAGGUCGGAUUAGCUAGUUGGUGGGGUAAAGGCCUACCAAGGCGACGAUCCGUAACUGGUCUGAGAGGAUGAUCAGUCACACUGGAAGUGAGACACGGUCCAGACUCCUAGGGGAGGCCGCAGUGGGGACUAUUGGAAAAUGGGCGAAAGCCUGAUCCAGCCAUGCCGCGUGUGUGAAGAAGGUCUUCGGAUGGUAAAGCACUUUAAGUUGGGAGGAAGGGCAGUAAGUUAAUACCUUGCUGUUUUGACGUUACCAACAGAAUAAGCACCGGCUAACUUCGUG